RNAcentral lists this transfer RNA (89 nucleotides) under Lietzensia polymorpha. RNAcentral describes it as "tRNA-Ser". It matches the Rfam family "tRNA". From Rfam's summary of the family: Transfer RNA (tRNA) molecules are approximately 80 nucleotides in length. Their secondary structure includes four short double-helical elements and three loops (D, anti-codon, and T loops). RNAcentral also lists the same sequence under 1 other name. The record is from RNAcentral. Lineage: Eukaryota; Eustigmatophyceae; Eustigmatales; Chlorobotryaceae.
GGAGAGAUGGCUGAGUGGUCGAAAGCGGCAGAUUGCUAAUCUGUUGUACAAUUUCUUUUGUACCGAGGGUUCGAAUCCCUUUCUCUCCU